AGAGUUUGAUCCUGGCUCAGGACGAACGCUGGCGGCGUGCCUAACACAUGCAAGUCGAGCGGGGUCCAUCCAGCAGCAAUGCUGGUGAAGACCUAGCGGCGAACGGGUGAGUAACACGUGAGAAACCUGCCCCGAAGUCCGGGAUAACCCGAGGAAACUCGAGCUAAUACCGGAUGCCCUCUUCUGGUCGCAUGGCCGGAACAGGAAAGAUUCAUCGCUUCGGGAGGGUCUCGCGGCCUAUCAGCUAGUUGGUGGGGUAACGGCCCACCAAGGCAUCGACGGGUAGCUGGUCUGAGAGGACGAUCAGCCACACUGGGACUGAGACACGGCCCAGACUCCUACGGGAGGCAGCAGUGGGGAAUCUUGCGCAAUGGGCGAAAGCCUGACGCAGCAACGCCGCGUGCGGGAUGAAGGCCUUCGGGUUGUAAACCGCUUUCAGCAGGGACGAAAAUGACGGUACCUGCAGAAGAAGCCCCGGCCAACUACGUGCCAGCAGCCGCGGUAACACGUAGGGGGCAAGCGUUGUCCGGAUUUAUUGGGC
This 541-nucleotide ribosomal RNA is filed under the name uncultured Actinomycetes bacterium. Its description in RNAcentral is "bacterial SSU rRNA". It matches the Rfam family "Bacterial small subunit ribosomal RNA", at positions 8 to 559 of the family's 1533-position model. Lineage: Bacteria; Bacillati; Actinomycetota; Actinomycetes. The record is from RNAcentral.